UGAACGCUGGCGGCGUGCCUAAUACAUGCACGUCGAGCGAACAGACGAGGAGCUUGCUCCUCUGACGUUAGCGGCGGACGGGUGAGUAACACGUGGAUAACCUACCUAUAAGACUGGGAUAACUUCGGGAAACCGGAGCUAAUACCGGAUAAUAUAUUGAACCGCAUGGUUCAAUAGUGAAAGACGGUUUUGCUGUCACUUAUAGAUGGAUCCGCGCCGCAUUAGCUAGUUGGUAAGGUAACGGCUUACCAAGGCAACGAUGCGUAGCCGACCUGAGAGGGUGAUCGGCCACACUGGAACUGAGACACGGUCCAGACUCCUACGGGAGGCAGCAGUAGGGAAUCUUCCGCAAUGGGCGAAAGCCUGACGGAGCAACGCCGCGUGAGUGAUGAAGGUCUUCGGAUCGUAAAACUCUGUUAUUAGGGAAGAACAAAUGUGUAAGUGACUAUGCACGUCUUGACGGUACCUAAUCAGAAAGCCACGGCUAACUACGUG
RNAcentral lists this ribosomal RNA (495 nucleotides) under uncultured bacterium. RNAcentral's name for it is "partial 16S ribosomal RNA". It matches the Rfam family "Bacterial small subunit ribosomal RNA", at positions 30 to 507 of the family's 1533-position model. The record is from RNAcentral.